Molecule: ribosomal RNA, 545 nt
Filed under: Lysinibacillus sp.
Lineage: Bacteria; Bacillati; Bacillota; Bacilli; Caryophanales; Bacillaceae
Description: bacterial SSU rRNA
Rfam family: Bacterial small subunit ribosomal RNA
Source: RNAcentral
GCAGUCGAGCGGACUUUAGAAAGCUUGCUUUUCUAAAGUUAGCGGCGGACGGGUGAGUAACACGUGGGCAACCUGCCCUAUAGUUGGGGAUAACUCCGGGAAACCGGGGCUAAUACCGAAUAAUACAUUCCUUCUCCUGUUGGAAUGUUGAAAGAUGGUUUACGCUAUCGCUAUAGGAUGGGCCCGCGGCGCAUUAGCUAGUUGGUGAGGUAACGGCUCACCAAGGCGACGAUGCGUAGCCGACCUGAGAGGGUGAUCGGCCACACUGGGACUGAGACACGGCCCAGACUCCUACGGGAGGCAGCAGUAGGGAAUCUUCCACAAUGGGCGAAAGCCUGAUGGAGCAACGCCGCGUGAGUGAAGAAGGUUUUCGGAUCGUAAAACUCUGUUGUAAGGGAAGAACAAGUACAGUAGUAACUGGCUGUACCUUGACGGUACCUUAUUAAAAAGCCACGGCUAACUACGUGCCAGCAGCCGCGGUAAUACGUAGGUGGCAAGCGUUGUCCGGAAUUAUUGGGCGUAAAGCGCGCGCAGGUGGUCCUUUA